CAUGGCUCAGGAUGAACGCUGACAGAAUGCUUAACACAUGCAAGUCGAUGGGGAAGCGGCGCUUGCGCCGUGGCAACCAUGGCGGACGGGUGAGUAGCGCGUAAAGAACUUGCCGGAUGGACCGGGAUAACAGCUGGAAACGGCUGGCAAGACCGGAUACUAUGGGCUGGCCGCAUGGCUGGCCCAUGAAAAGGGAUGCCGUCCGAGAGCUUUGCGUCCUAUUAGCUGGUUGGUAAGGUGACGGCUUACCAAGGCGAUGAUAGGUAGCCGGCCUGAGAGGGUGGACGGCCACAAGGGGACUGAGAUACGGCCCUUACUCCUACGG
Molecule: ribosomal RNA, 325 nt
Filed under: uncultured bacterium
Lineage: Bacteria
Description: bacterial SSU rRNA
Rfam family: Bacterial small subunit ribosomal RNA
Source: RNAcentral